UUGGAGGGCAAGUCUGGUGCCAGCAGCCGCGGUAAUUCCAGCUCCAAUAGCGUAUAUUAAAGUUGUUGCAGUUAAAAAGCUCGUAGUUGAAUUUCGGGAUCAGUACGCUGGUCGUGCCUUGGUAUGCACUGGUGUCACUGGUUCCUCCCUUCUGACGAACCGUCAUGCCAUUCACUUGGUGUGGCGGGAAAUCAGGACUGUUACUUUGUGAAAUUUAGAGUGUUUAAAGCAGGC
RNAcentral lists this ribosomal RNA (234 nucleotides) under uncultured Glomus. RNAcentral's name for it is "partial 18S ribosomal RNA". It matches the Rfam family "Eukaryotic small subunit ribosomal RNA", at positions 548 to 785 of the family's 1831-position model. Lineage: Eukaryota; Fungi; Glomeromycota; Glomeromycetes; Glomerales; Glomeraceae. The record is from RNAcentral.